UAGUCCACGCCGUAAACGAUGGAUACUAGCUGUUUAUGGUUUUUCAUAGGAUCAUAAGUGGCCAAGCGAAAGUGAUAAGUAUCCCACCUGGGGAGUACGUUCGCAAGAAUGAAACUCAAAGGAAUUGACGGGGGCCCGCACAAGCGGUGGAGCAUGUGGUUUAAUUCGAUGAUACGCGAGGAACCUACCAGGGCUUAAAUGCAGUAUGACAGAUUUGGAAACAGGUUUUUCUUCGGACAUAUUGCAAGGUGCUGCAUGGUUGUCGUCAGCUCGUGCCGUGAGGUGUCAGGUUAAGUCCUAUAACGAGCGCAACCCCUAUUGCUAGUUGCCAGCGGAUAAUGCCGGGGACUCUAGUGAGACUGCCGGCGCAAACCGUGAGGAAGGUGGGGAUGACGUCAAAUCAUCACGGCCCUUACGUCCUGGGCCACACACGUGCUACAAUGGUAGGGACAGAGAGCAGCCACUUCGCGAGAAGGAGCGAAUCUACAAACCCUAUCAC
RNAcentral lists this ribosomal RNA (499 nucleotides) under uncultured bacterium. RNAcentral's name for it is "bacterial SSU rRNA". It matches the Rfam family "Bacterial small subunit ribosomal RNA", at positions 791 to 1289 of the family's 1533-position model. The record is from RNAcentral.